This 436-nucleotide ribosomal RNA is filed under the name uncultured bacterium. RNAcentral's name for it is "bacterial SSU rRNA". It matches the Rfam family "Bacterial small subunit ribosomal RNA", at positions 387 to 825 of the family's 1533-position model. The record is from RNAcentral.
CCCAGCCAUGCGGCGUGCAGGAAGACGGCCUCUGGGUUGUAAACUGCUUUUAUUUGGGAAGAAACCCUGAUACGUGUAUCAGGCUGACGGUACCAAACGAAUAAGCACCGGCUAACUCCGUGCCAGCAGCCGCGGUAAUACGGAGGGUGCAAGCGUUAUCCGGAAUUAUUGGGUUUAAAGGGUCCGUAGGCGGACCUUUAAGUCAGUGGUGAAAUCUUUCGGCUCAACCGGAAAACUGCCAUUGAAACUGAAGGUCUUGAAUAUGUUUGAAGUGGGCGGAAUAUGGCAUGUAGCGGUGAAAUGCUUAGAUAUGCCAUAGAACACCGAUAGCGAAGGCAGCUCACUAAGCCAUUAUUGACGCUAAGGGACGAAAGCGUGGGGACGACAGGAUUAGAUACCUGGUAGUCCACGCCGUAAACGAUGAUCCUCGAUAUUG